UUGCACUAUUCGUAAGGUUUGAAGUACUUAACCCAUUUGAGGCCAAACAAAAACUAGAAGGGUAACCUUAGAUUUUUUUUUAGUUUAUUAAUUAUUAGCAACACAAAGAU
This is a long non-coding RNA of Maniola jurtina (meadow brown), 110 nucleotides long. RefSeq lists it as uncharacterized. Lineage: Eukaryota; Metazoa; Arthropoda; Insecta; Lepidoptera; Nymphalidae. The transcript has 4 exons. The record is from RefSeq and is a predicted model, not a curated record.